UACGGAGGGUGCGAGCGUUGUCCGGAAUCAUUGGGCGUAAAGGGCGCGUAGGCGGCUUGGUAAGGUUGCGGUGAAAGCCCGGGGCUCAACCCCGGGUCGGCCGUGGCAACUGCUGAGCUGGAGCACUGUAGAGGCAGGUGGAAUUCCGGGUGUAGCGGUGGAAUGCGUAGAGAUCCGGAAGAACACCGGUGGCGAAGGCGGCCUGCUGGGCAGUGGCUGACGCUGAUGCGCGACAGCGUGGGGAGCAAACAGG
RNAcentral lists this ribosomal RNA (253 nucleotides) under uncultured bacterium. Its description in RNAcentral is "partial 16S ribosomal RNA". It matches the Rfam family "Bacterial small subunit ribosomal RNA", at positions 524 to 776 of the family's 1533-position model. The record is from RNAcentral.